This 253-nucleotide ribosomal RNA is filed under the name uncultured bacterium. RNAcentral describes it as "partial 16S ribosomal RNA". It matches the Rfam family "Bacterial small subunit ribosomal RNA", at positions 524 to 776 of the family's 1533-position model. The record is from RNAcentral.
UACGGGGGGUGCAAGCGUUGUUCGGAAUCACUGGGCGUAAAGCGCGUGUAGGCGGAAUGGCAAGUCAGAUGUGAAAGCCCAGGGCUCAACCCUGGAACUGCAUUUGAAACUGCCAAUCUAGAGUACGGUAGAGGGAAGGGGAAUUCCCGGUGUAGAGGUGAAAUUCGUAGAUAUCGGGAGGAAUACCAGUGGCGAAGGCGCCUUCCUGGGCCAGUACUGACGCUGAGACGCGAAAGCGUGGGGAGCAAACAGG